ACCAUUAGACUUUAAUUUUAACCUAUUGCACUCUUUAACUUCUAUUUGUAACUAAUUUCACUCUUAAUCAGUAAUACUGACUAAUUUAACCAUAAAUGGGACAACAUGGAUUAGCACAUGGUUUAACUUGCUUUGAAGCACAUGAAAGGUUUUUAAAUUGAUGAUGUGGCCAGACACGUGGAUUAUAAUGGAAAAAAGUGACAACGUAAGAAAAUGGCCGCAUCAGCAAUAAAAUCCUGUCUUCCUCUCUCUUACUUUCUCAUUAUGGAUUUAUCCUUCUUUUCCCUCUCUCUUGGUCUCUCAUUAUCGAUUUGAAAUUAUUUUUUAACGUGAGUUCCAUAAGAAAUACUGUUGAUUCUUUGAUUUUGUGAAAGAAGAAAUUAGGGCAGAAGCUAAAUGGUUGUUUCAAUGUGCAAUUGUGGGGAAGUUGGUACUUUCAAGACAUCAUGGACAACAGAAAAAUCCAGGAAGAAGGUUUUUUAGCUGCAGGAACUAUGGAGUAAAUAUAUUAGCUAAAAGUGGAUUUAUUUGUCUAAGUUUAGGUUUAUUUAUCAACUAUUUUUUGUUAUUUUACAGACUUUUAGAAGCUUGUAACUAUUUCAUGUGGCUUGACAAUCCCCAUACCAGAGCAAUCAGGACAUGUGAUUUUAGGGCUUUUAAGAAGGAUUAGAAAGAUUAGGGUAGAGAGAGAAAGAGAACGAGCAAAUCACUAUGGGGUUAAGAAGUUGAUAUUUGUUACAAUUGUUAUAGGAUCUACUAUGUAUUUUGGAAGUCAAUUGUGAUAAUUGAUGUGUUUUGAUUGUAAUGUAGGACUCAACCCUAUGUUCAUUGUUGCCCUCACUUACCCUUGCCUCAACAUUAAUUCUACCACUUGUCUCGUUUUGUCCUUGGACAUUCAGGUCAUCUUGUCCUAGUGGGCCAUCUUGGGUUGAAAAUUGUGGAUGUUCAACAGUGUGAGCCACAUACAAGUCCAUUAUAUGCCCAUCCUUAAGGGUUUGUGCUACUUUUAUAGAUAAAUAAAUUUACUUCCAUUCUUAGGCUUUUACUAAACUCCUUCCAUAGAAGUAUACCCAAACUUCCUUGUAUACCACAUUGGUUCUGAUAUAGACAGCUUAUCAACGUCAGAAUACUUAAUGCUUACAUUUCCA
This 1148-nucleotide long non-coding RNA is filed under the name Ricinus communis (castor bean). Its description in RNAcentral is "long non-coding RNA (RCOM_LNC001590)". Lineage: Eukaryota; Viridiplantae; Streptophyta; Magnoliopsida; Malpighiales; Euphorbiaceae. The record is from RNAcentral.